AACGAACGCUGGCGGCAUGCCUAACACAUGCAAGUCGAACGAGGCCCUUCGGGGUUUAGUGGCGCACGGGUGCGUAACGCGUGGGAAUCUGCCCUUUGGUUCGGAAUAACAGCUGGAAACGGCUGCUAAUACCGGAUGAUGACGAGAGUCCAAAGAUUUAUCGCCAGAGGAUGAGCCCGUGUUGGAUUAGGUAGUUGGUGGGGUAAAGGCCUACCAAGCCGACGAUCCAUAGCUGGUCUGAGAGGAUGAUCAGCCACACUGGGACUGAGACACGGCCCAGACUCCUACGGGAGGCAGCAGUGGGGAAUAUUGGACAAUGGGCGCAAGCCUGAUCCAGCAAUGCCGCGUGAGUGAUGAAGGCCCUAGGGUUGUAAAGCUCUUUUACCCGGGAAGAUAAUGACUGUACCGGGAGAAUAAGCCCCGGCUAACUCCGUG
RNAcentral lists this ribosomal RNA (435 nucleotides) under uncultured bacterium. RNAcentral describes it as "bacterial SSU rRNA". It matches the Rfam family "Bacterial small subunit ribosomal RNA", at positions 29 to 507 of the family's 1533-position model. The record is from RNAcentral.